This is a long non-coding RNA of Anser brachyrhynchus (Pink-footed goose), 1320 nucleotides long. NCBI's taxonomy places the organism in Eukaryota, Metazoa, Chordata, Aves, Anseriformes, Anatidae. The record is from Ensembl.
GCAUGUGCAUCAGUGCUGUAAAGGACAUGGAAAAGAUUGGAUGUGGACCCCCAGGACAUGCAGCCUUUGGGGCUGGCCAAAGAGGCUGGGAGCUCCAGAGACUUCUCUGGCACAAUCAUCCUGCUGUAUUCUUCCAGAUGGGUGUGGGAAAAGCUGAGCACCGUCUCCUGGAAGCAGCAAACACAAACCCGCGGCGGCAACAGAUGCUGGACCUGCUGCCCCACCUGGGAGCGCCGUGGAAGAGCCUGCUGCUGCCUGGCCGCUCCUCUUCCCUGCCGUGUGUCUGGGGAUGGGCUCAGCCAUGGCAGGUUGGUGCCCCUGGGGCUUGGCCAUAGGAUGCCUCUAAAUCCAGCGCUGCAGGCUCAGCUUCCCCUCUGCCCCCCGCCGCCUGCAGACCUGCUGGGCGGAGGGAUGCGUCUCCUCACCUUGCAGCCUCUCUGCUUGGGUGAUGCUUCCCCUUUCCUGCCCUUUCCCCUGCACCUGGUGCCCUCUCCAGUGCUGUUUGCAGUGGAUCUCAUACUUACUGAUCCACCAGCCAGUGCUGGUGGCCCAGGUGGUGAAAGGUGUGGGCUUUGUUGUUCCUCUCAAAAACUGCAGAGGAGACAGAGAGGGACCCUUGGAAGUGCAGUGGAUGCACGUGUAGGACCAGCGUGUGCCAUGCUCACCUCUGUUCUGUUCUGUUCUGUUCUGUUCUGUUCUGUUCUGUUCUGUUCUGUUCUGUUCUAUUCUAUUCUAUUCUAUUCUAUCCCAUCCCAUCCCAUCCCAUCCCAUCCUAUCCCAUCCCCAGGAGCUGACAGAAAUCCUGCCUGGUGGAAGGGGUGUAGGGAUGAGGGCUCUGCUCUGGAUUUCUUUCUGUGCAGGAGCACGAGCUGCCCUAGACUUGCUUUUUUUGCCACCAAAUUUGUGACAGGAUGCACAGCAUGGCUCCAUUUCCCGACCCAGCCUCUUUCUCUCUCCCCUCCUUCCGUGCCUGCCCCAUGUUUUUAUGGAUCUGGAGGGUUUGUCUCAGUGGGAGCUCAAGUGUUACCCGAUCCUUGUGGUAUGGGUACACUGGAAAACAAACAGACAUGGUCCUGGGGUGUGUGCAUCCAUGAUGACCCAUGGGUUGUCCUUCUUAUGUGUUUAUGUGCAUCCCUGUCCCCCUCUGCGUGUUCCCUGCAUCUUCCUUCACAAUUUCAUUUCUUUUGCCUCUCCUCAGUGCCCUUUCUUCCUCUUCUCUCACCCUCUCCCUCUUUCUCCUGCCCUCCUCCUCAUUCUCUUUUUCUCAUUUGAUAUUCAUGCAUGAAUAAAUUCAAUUGCAUUUUUUCCCUGUUCCCCCUG